AGAUUGAACGCUGGCGGCAUGCCUUACACAUGCAAGUCGAACGGCAGCACGGGAGCAAUCCUGGUGGCGAGUGGCGAACGGGUGAGUAACACAUCGGAACGUGCCCAGUAGUGGGGGAUAACCCGGCGAAAGCCGGACUAAUACCGCAUACGACCUAUGGGUGAAAGCGGGGGACCUGUGAGGGCCUCGCGCUAUUGGAGCGGCCGAUGUCAGAUUAGCUAGUUGGUGGGUAAAGGCCUACCAAGGCGACGAUCUGUAGCUGGUCUGAGAGGACGACCAGCCACACUGGGACUGAGACACGGCCCAGACUCCUACGGGAGGCAGCAGUGGGGAAUCUUGCGCAAUGGGCGAAAGCCUGACGCAGCAACGCCGCGUGGGGGAUGGAAGCUCUCGGGUUGUAAACCCCUUUCGAGGAGG
This 417-nucleotide ribosomal RNA is filed under the name uncultured soil bacterium. RNAcentral's name for it is "bacterial SSU rRNA". It matches the Rfam family "Bacterial small subunit ribosomal RNA", at positions 26 to 444 of the family's 1533-position model. The record is from RNAcentral.